This 1095-nucleotide long non-coding RNA is filed under the name Daucus carota (carrot). RNAcentral's name for it is "long non-coding RNA (DCAR_LNC000413)". The record is from RNAcentral. Lineage: Eukaryota; Viridiplantae; Streptophyta; Magnoliopsida; Apiales; Apiaceae.
UUGGGAAUAGAAUUUCUCAAAAAAAAAAUUACCAUGAAAAUUCUAGGUAUUGUUCUAUGACAAUUCCAACCGAAGGUGACUGCUAUGGAAUCCGAUUAUGAGGAACGGGCGCGACCCUUAAAAGAAGUAAUUACUACUUGGAUGGAUGAGAUAGUUAGACAAGAAGAUGACUUCAUGUCUGAGACAUGGGGCGCGUCCUUAGGGGCCUGGUUUGAAUAAUUUCAUGUCUGGAAAAUGGGGCGCGCUCUUAGGGGCCUGCAUCGUAUAAAAUGGUGUAUGUUGUAAUGUUAGCUCUUCCUAUAAGAAGAGUGUGAUGUCGCGAAGACAACGCCUCCAGGGAACAUGAAGACAACUUCUUUUAGGGGAUACAAAGACUUAACCCUUCGAGAGAUACAAAGAUCGCUCCUCUGGGAAUAUGAAGACUUAGAUAUCCCGAAACCCAUCUGACGUGAUCUUCGAUUCUCAAUUUUGUAUUCUGUCUGGUUGUACUCGUGCGGAGACUUGAGGUGAUCACGAUUAUUACUAAAGGCUCUCCAGGGUGAUAUGAAGAAUGGUCAAAUGUUUGGAUCAUGUAUACUGAUUAGUUAUCCUCAUCGGGUAUCGAGACGAUCGAAUGUCCCGAUUGCUUAGGGAGAGACCUUGCCCUGCCCUCAGGGGGUUGAGGACACGUCCUUACACCUUAAGGAUGGUCAGGGCUCUCCGGAUGACUCCUUCCAUGAUACGAAGAGUAGCGGUUGGUGUUACCUCCUACAGUUAGAGAUAAUGUCGUAUCCGUGAUGUACUUGGAUUAGGAACAGUUUUAUAGUUCGCCUCAAGACUAGUCCUUGGCAUAGUUGGACUCUCCUUCUGAGCAUAUUGGAUGGAAGACUCUUGAAGAGUAGUUGAUAAGCCACCACCGUGGUUAUAGACUUCUCUGCGGGGCUUACUUCUAAUCAAAUUAGGCAUCUGACCUCCUAAAACUACGUCUGGCUUGAUUUCUAAAUACAAGAUAAGUAGGCACAUUAAAGAGAUGAGAGCUAAGAAGUAACCUAUAAUACUUUUGAUCUCAGCCACUCUUAAAUACACAGCCACCACACCUGACAACAAAAUCACCGU